Molecule: long non-coding RNA, 1280 nt
Filed under: Homo sapiens (human)
Lineage: Eukaryota; Metazoa; Chordata; Mammalia; Primates; Hominidae
Description: HSALNT0281132
Source: RNAcentral
CGAGCCUCGUGCUCUUCUCGAAUUUUCUUCCUUCUCAAUUUUCAUCUCGUGAGUGUAGCAACAUGAAUUAUAGCUUGUCAAGCAAUACAUUUUCUCAGCGUUGAGAAGAUUCUGCUCCAUUUUUUCUGAUUAUGGAUUCUGUUCAGAAGGAAGCCGAAUUUUAAGUCAUCGUUCUAGGAUAGAUUCAGCUCCAUUUUCUCUGGUGGUAGAUCUCCAUGGAUGCUAUUGAGAAGGUACUUCUCAAAGUCCACGAGGACAAGGACAUCUUUCCACCGAAUGCCACCUGGUUUAUAACAAAAGCAUGAAAAACAAACAGGAAUUUCUCAAUGCAGAAAGGACUGAAGCUGUCAAAGGUGUGCUUUUUUUCUGCACAAACAAGUUUCCAUUGAAUGAUAGAAUAAAGAGAUACUGACUUCCCCGGAGCCUCCAAACUUGAGUAGUCAGGCAUUGGGAUCCGUGGAAGGCUUGUUAAAUCCAAAUAGAUUGGUCCUACUCCAUCCGCAGAGUUGCUGACGAGGUGCGUCCAGGCCUUCUCCUCACCUCUCAGGGAGAUAUACCAUGCAGUGCCUUCAGUUAUGGUGUUGUGACUGAGGAUGCUUCGGUCAGACAUGUCCCUGAAAACCUGCAUAGAGGAAUCUCUUGCCCCAAGUUUCAUUCCAAGUAUUUAAAUUGGAAUUGAGCAUCCUGUCAUGCCAGGGAUGAGAAUGCCUGGGUUACAUCAGUUAGCCCUCUCCUCUUGAGGAAUGGCAUAUUACCCAUUUUAGUUUAAGAACACAGAUGAAAAAUCACCAAGUAAAAAAGGAGCAUAGGGAGGAAUCCAGGAGAAACCAGGCUCAAGCUUCCAGCCACCCUCUUCCAGUGGAGUCAAGUGCACUGCACUUAAUUCUCCCAGCCAGGUGUGCGGCCACCUGUGCCAAGUGUUCCCAACCAGCUGCACUUCAAGGGAAGUUAUUGAAUAUGUCCUAUCCAACUAAAACAAGGAAAUGAUGAAAAAAAUAAAAUCACUUUCCAGAGGCCUCAGGGCUAACUGGAGACAGAGCUCAGACUGCAACUGAGAAAAGUUGGACUCCAAAACCUGUACUCUGAGCUUUACUGCAUGAGAAAGUUAUUGAAAUGUGCCUUGUGACAUUCAGAAUAAGUGACUUUUCAGAGGUCUCAGAGUCAGUAAGAGACAGAACUCAGAUUGUAACCAAGAAGAGCUGAACUCCAAACUUCUGUGUCCGGAAUUGGUGGGUUCUUGGUCUCACUGACUUCAAGAAUGAAGCGGCAGACCCUCGCGG